UCCAUAUAAAGUUUCCUCUUUCCAGUGAAGAAGCAGCCAGUCAGGAAUAAGCUUCUCCCACAAUACAUCCGGUUUCGUGGCUCGAGAAUCAAACAAAAAUAAAAAUAAAACAGUUGCAAAUUAGUAUGCAUAUAUAUGCUUCUUCGCUAGUAUUCGUGAAAAUGGCUCCUUACCUCUCUUCCCUUUCUCCCGUCACCGCCACCACCAGUCUCUCUCUCUCUUUUUCAAUUAUGAGUUUUCCUCGGCGGACAAAUGCGAUACGGCUGGUGAGGUGUAGUAAUGCCGCGGUGUCAAGACACGGCCAAGUUGCGUAUGAAUAUGAUCCGGAGCUUCGCACAGUGCUUGAAUUAGCCACGGACGCCGAGCUAUAUGAGCUUCGAAGAAUGCUUUUUGGUCCCAGCUACUUUAGUCCCUUGUUAAAGUCUAUACUGAAUAGAGAUGAUGUGGAGGAUGGGAUGAUUGAAGAAAAUGUCGAGGAGCGAGAAGCUUUUAUAGCAGCUCUUGAAUCACGCUUCUUAUUCCUAGCAGCUGAUGCCCGCUCAACAUUAAGGGGUUGGAGGCCUUCGUAUAGAAAUGUCCUGCUUUCUGUGAGGAAAAAGUUGAACAUUCCUUGCUCAAACAAGUUGUGCACUCAAGACCUUGAAGCAGAGAUUUUCCUUUAUCUAUUGAGGGAUUAUGCAAGUGAAGAAUCAGGAACUUUUCCAGGCCUAUGGGAAAGCAAUAAUAUUUCCAACAUUCAAAAUAGUCUAGAAUUGGGACUUAGCCAGUGGAAGGUGCAGGUCCUUGCUGCUGGUAAAGUCGGGGCAGCUGGGCUUCAAUCAAUAAUUUUGAAGGGUGGUGGUGUGAUUACUUUGGCAAAAAUUUAUCAAUUGUUGACAAAGAAAUUGUCUGGAAUGGUGUUUCUGGAAGCUGCCAACUAUUUGAUUAAAAAGGAAGCUCUUAAAAAGGGGGUGCAGGUAGCUGCUAUUAAUGUAGAAUCUAGAGCAGCCUUGCUUGCAGCUAAGCAGGGCUUUGCUGGUGCUGCAUCCAGAUAUGUGGGUUUGAGGAGUAUGAUGAGUUUACUUGGCCCACUGUUGUGGGGAACAUUUCUGGCUGACGUUGUCAUUCAGAUGCUAGGAACAGAUUAUGCCAGAAUUUUGCGAGCUAUCUAUGCAUUUGCACAGAUCCGUGUCACUCGAACAUACCGGUUAUCAUGCAAAGAUGACUGAGUAGGAUAGCUUUUCAGGUGUACCUGGUAGAACUUCUCCAGUUGUAGAAACGGAGCUUUACUUUGGAACUGAAGCUUUAAUGAUCUUCAUAGCUUAACAACAAGCCACUCCGUGCGUUUCUUAUUCUGAAACCACGUGUCCAUGCGGCACCAAGACUAUUCGUAGUCGAGAUCAGCCUUCCCUCGAGUCCAAUUUUCCUUGGACAGCUCAAUUUCAAUCCUUCAAGCCGCAUACAUAGGAGCCUUUUCUUUGGCUUUGACCCCGUAGGGUUAUUCAUUUCGAACUCUAUAGGGAGGAACCCAACUCCCGUCACUCAUCAGCCCGCGAUUCUCAAAGUGGCCCCGAGCACCCAUCUUUGCCCGCAGGGCUUAAGGUCUUGAGCACCGACCCUUGAAUACCCGUGGGGCAUGCAGCCCCGGUUCUCAUGAUUUUAUUACUUCUUGACAUGGUGAGAACCCAACACCAUGCCCGCCCGUAUUGUACGCAAACUUUCAUAUCAAGUUUACACAAGCACAACACUUAUGCUGGUCAGCAGCUAGCUCGGAGCCUUUAGGCUCAUCUCAUCCCACGGGAUUCAGUUCUUAGGGCUUAGGCCCUUAGCUUCUAUGUAGACUGCCCGCACGCAUGAUUGACACCCAACAUCAUGCUAAUCCCGCAAGGGGGACUUGGGUGGACUGCCCUAGUUGCAGCAUACCUCUACCGAUUGGCCACAAGGGUCUAGCAGCGUGCCUGCCUGCUAGCCCGCACAUCCCUCAGGCUCGAUGGCAUCCUUCCUACGCAAACACCAUCUCAUGAUCCUUUUGGUUCAAGGAGGGGAAAUCGAGGGGCAUAGCGAACUCUACUGUGUAAUCUCAUGGCUCAACGCGAAGGCGUGAUAUGAGGCCUGCUGGCCCCAACCGUCCCUGGGUUUACCAUGAGCCGAGGAAACAUCGUGCCACACUCGUGACCCUACGAUGCCUGCCCACCUAGACACCACUAGUGUCUAGGAGUAGCUCACUUCAGACUAGUUAGGCCUCUGUCUGCCCGCUAGCCAAGGAGGUGGUGGAGAGUUGACACCAGUCAUCCACUAUAAAGAGCGUAAGAGAUUUUUUCAGUUUCCUACCAGUAACCAUAAGAUUGUCUGAAAUGGGGACACUUUUCUCCCUAGCCAUCUCAGGGCCUUUCUCCGACUAACUCAGGGCCCCAUAACCUUCCUUUUGGUCACCAUUAUUCCUUGAUUCUACUCAUUGCUCCAUCAACCCACUCGAAAGUGCCUGCACAUGCCUUCAACUGACAGCACCUGACUGGCUAGUUGGUCCUAGGGCACCGGCGCACUGCCUUACACUUACCUACGUAUCUUGCGGUCCAGGGCUCCCACUGCCCGCACAACAUAUUAGUAACCUGUUCCAAUGCUCCAAAUGCACGCCCGCAUCUAUUAGAACCACUUUCCCGCCAGCUUGGUCUCGAUAACUGCUCAGCUCAGGGUCAGUCAUGGCAUGACCAAGGCACACCAAGGCCUGACUAUGACACCACUGCUGCAUGCACGUUAAUUUUUAAUGUUUUACUUAUCUGGCCCUCUAUUGUGUUAAUAACUGUGUUGAAGAGUUAAAAUGAUUUAGGCAAUUAAUUUUCUCGGAAAUGUAGAAAUCUACUUUGCCUGGAUGUCCCUUUAUGAUUAUAAAAUCAUAAGAUAGUACCAGUUGUUUAAAUAUUAGAGAGUUGAUAUGGCUGGUUGAAGACAUUCAAGUCUAAUGUGCUUUGUCCAAGAGGUUUAGUACCUUUUAUUUAUGAUGCUACUGAUGAAAGUUCAUCAGUAAUAAUCCAAAUGGCUUAUUGCCUAUUCCAUCAAGGUAAGAUUUCCUAGUGAACAACCAUAAAAAAUAGGCUAUGAAUAAUGGAGGAAUAAUAAAAGGUUGCUGAUACAUGUUCUGUGCUCGAAGCAUGAUUCACCAGUGUGCACCGAUUGUUGAUACUAUUUAUUACCAAUGUCGACCUUUUUCCCUCUAAAAAUUCCUUGGUGAAGUCUCGUUUGGAUAGUUCAGUAGCUUCACUGAUAAAGCUUUUUAGCCCCUUUUUUACUUGUGCAGUUAUCUGAAUUGGUUGAACCAAGGCUUCUUUUGGUUGUGUUUUCUUUUUUUUUUUUUUUUGUUACAAAGGAAGCUGCAUGGGGAUGUAGAAAGGAGUUUUAGGUGCUAAAAUUUAAACCUUAGCCAAUAAAAUGUCACAUCUUAAAGAUUGUUACAUAAAUUAAUAUUGUUAAGCUCAGAGUUUU
Durio zibethinus is the source of this 3459-nucleotide non-coding RNA. The record is from RefSeq and is a predicted model, not a curated record. Lineage: Eukaryota; Viridiplantae; Streptophyta; Magnoliopsida; Malvales; Malvaceae.